GAAAUGCGAUAAUUAAUGUGAAUUGCAGAAUUCAGUGAAUCAUCGAGUCUUUGAACGCACAUUGCGCCCCCUGGUAUUCCGGGGGGCAUGCCUGUCCGAGUGUCAUUGCUGCCCUCAAGCACGACUUGUGUGUUGGGCUUCCGUCCCUGGCAACGGGGACGGGCCCAAAAGGCAGUGGCGGCACCAUGUCUGGUCCUCGAGCGUAUGGGGCUUUGUCACCCGCUCCCGUAGGUCCAGCUGGCAGCUAGCCUCGCAACCAAUCUUUUUAACCAGGUUGACCUCGGAUCAGGUAGGGAUACCCGCUGAACUUAAGC
This 314-nucleotide unclassified non-coding RNA is filed under the name plant metagenome. RNAcentral describes it as "partial contains 5.8S ribosomal RNA, internal transcribed spacer 2, and large subunit ribosomal RNA". The stretch from base 1 to 105 matches the Rfam family "5.8S ribosomal RNA", at positions 50 to 154 of the family's 154-position model. The record is from RNAcentral.